GAUGAACGCUGGCGGCGUGCCUAAUACAUGCAAGUCGAGCGAACAGACGAGGAGCUUGCUCCUCUGACGUUAGCGGCGGACGGGUGAGUAACACGUGGAUAACCUACCUAUAAGACUGGGAUAACUUCGGGAAACCGGAGCUAAUACCAGAUAAUAUAUUGAACCGCAUGGUUCAAUAGUGAAAGACGGUUUUGCUGUCACUUAUAGAUGGAUCCGCGCCGCAUUAGCUAGUUGGUAAGGUAACGGCUUACCAAGGCAACGAUGCGUAGCCGACCUGAGAGGGUGAUCGGCGACACUGGAACUGAGCCGCGGUCCAGACUCCUACGGGAGGCAGCAGUAGCGAAUCUUCCGCAAUGGGCGGAAGCUUGACGGAGCAACGCCGCGUGAGUGAUGCAAGUCUGCGGAUCGUAAAACUCUGUUAUUAGGGAAGAACAAAUGUGUAAGUGACUAUGCACGUCGUGACGGUACCUAAUCAGAAAGCCACGGCUAACUACGUG
This 497-nucleotide ribosomal RNA is filed under the name uncultured bacterium. RNAcentral's name for it is "partial 16S ribosomal RNA". It matches the Rfam family "Bacterial small subunit ribosomal RNA", at positions 28 to 507 of the family's 1533-position model. The record is from RNAcentral.